UACGGAGGGAGCUAGCGUUGUUCGGAAUUACUGGGCGUAAAGCGCACGUAGGCGGCUUUGUAAGUUAGUGGUGAAAGCCUGGAGCUCAACUCCAGAAUUGCAUUUAAGACUGCAUCGCUUGAAUGCAGGAGAGGUGAGCGGAAUUCUGGGUGUAGAGGUGAAAUUCGUAGAUAUUAGGAAGAACACCAGUGGCGAAGGCGGGUCACUGGACUGGUAUUGACGCUGAGGUGCGAAAGCGUGGGGAGCAAACAGG
RNAcentral lists this ribosomal RNA (253 nucleotides) under uncultured bacterium. Its description in RNAcentral is "partial 16S ribosomal RNA". It matches the Rfam family "Bacterial small subunit ribosomal RNA", at positions 524 to 776 of the family's 1533-position model. The record is from RNAcentral.